RNAcentral lists this ribosomal RNA (744 nucleotides) under uncultured bacterium. RNAcentral describes it as "bacterial SSU rRNA". It matches the Rfam family "Bacterial small subunit ribosomal RNA", at positions 8 to 796 of the family's 1533-position model. The record is from RNAcentral.
AGAGUUUGAUCAUGGCUCAGAACGAACGCUGGCGGCAUGCCUAACACAUGCAAGUCGAACGCUUAUCUUCGGAUAGGAGUGGCGCACGGGUGAGUAACGCGUGGGAACCUGCCCCGAGGUGGGGGAUAACCGAUGGAAACGUCGGCUAAUACCGCAUACGACCUGAGGGUGAAAGAUUUAUCGCCUUGGGAGGGGCCCGCGUCGGAUUAGCUAGUUGGUGGGGUAACGGCCUACCAAGGCGAUGAUCCGUAGCUGGUCUGAGAGGAUGAUCAGCCACACUGGGACUGAGACACGGCCCAGACUCCUACGGGAGGCAGCAGUGGGGAAUAUUGGACAAUGGGCGGAAGCCUGAUCCAGCAAUGCCGCGUGAGUGAUGAAGGCCUUAGGGUUGUAAAGCUCUUUCGGCGGGGACGAUGAUGACGGUACCCGCAGAAGAAGCCCCGGCUAACUUCGUGCCAGCAGCCGCGGUAAUACGAAGGGGGCAAGCGUUGUUCGGAAUUACUGGGCGUAAAGGGCGCGCAGGCGGCCAUUCAAGUCAGGUGUGAAAGCCCCGGGCUCAACCUGGGAAUAGCACUUGGGACUGAGUGGCUAGAGAUCGGGAGAGGAGAGUGGAAUUCCCAGUGUAGAGGUGAAAUUCGUAGAUAUUGGGAAGAACACCGGUGGCGAAGGCGGCUCUCUGGACCGAUACUGACGCUGAGGCGCGAAAGCGUGGGGAGCAAACAGGAUUAGAUACCCUAGUAGUCC